This 1136-nucleotide long non-coding RNA is filed under the name Parus major (Great Tit). RNAcentral's name for it is "lncRNA (ENSPMJG00000006335.1)". Lineage: Eukaryota; Metazoa; Chordata; Aves; Passeriformes; Paridae. The record is from RNAcentral.
AUGGAAAUCAUCCGUGAGCAACCAUAUAAUUUGAUUUGCUAAGCAAUCUGCGAGGCGAUUGCACAUCAUUUAUAAUGUUCAUUGAGCAUUUUGCUUAAUUGUGUCUCUUUUUGUAAAGGAAGCACAGCCCCCUCCCGGCUGCGGCCGGCACAAGUGGCCAGAUUCCCAUGGACCCGCAGACAACCGCCGGCCCCGCGCGGGGUUUUUCCCAAGAGGAGCCGUCCCCCUACGCACGUCUGGGGGGCGAGAAAGGGGCUCAGGUACGAGCUCGCUGUCUGAAACCCCUCUGCUCACAGCCCGCGGCUCCGGCAGGUGCUGCCCGUCCAGGCUGGCGGGUGCCAGCUCGCUUCUGGCCGGGGCGGUGCGUCCCGCGGGCGGCGAGCCCCGGGAUCCACAGGUGCGGAACGGGCCCGGCGGCAGCGGUGCCGGGAAGGGCUGAUUCCCCUUGCCAGAGAGACCUGAAACCGGCAUCAGAAGGGAAGGGAAGACCUUUCAUGCACGACCUCGCUGCGGUCCGCCCCGUCCCGUUCCCCUACGUGUUUUGCCCCAGUCGGUCCUGCCUCCGCACUCCGGGGAACUUGCGCGCAGGCCGGCAGCGCGGCCAGAGGCCGUCGGUCCCCUCGGGGCAGGGAGGUACCGACCGGGGAACGGCGUUCAGCGGGACUGGGACGAGCCCCUCGCAGCCGGCGACCCCCCGCCUUUCAGGCCCCUGCAGGGAGCGGCAGGAGAAGCCGAGCACGUCUCGGUGGGAGCGCGGCUGGGGCUGGCAGCCCCUCUGCUCUCCGGCGGAGGGAAGACGGGAGCGGCCCCGCCGCUCGCCCGCACCUUUUCCCUGCCGCGGCCGCCCAGCCGCACCAUAUAAUUUGAUUUUCCCCCGUGCCCGCAGAUCGAUUGCAGCUCAUUUGAUACAUUCAGCGGUUCCUCGGGACGUGGAGGGGGGAGAAGGGCGGGCCGGGGGAGCCGGCGGCACAAGUGUUGGGAUUCCCAUGGGCUGUGCCUGCUCUCCAGCUUGCCGCACUGGCACCCCGGCCCGAGCGGCCGAAGAAGGGGGGUUUGCAGACACGGUGACCUCCGCGAUCUCGGUUUGAAAGAGCCUGAAAGGCGGCCCGCUAUGGUGCAUUACGAGCCCAGCGCCC